RNAcentral lists this ribosomal RNA (253 nucleotides) under uncultured bacterium. RNAcentral describes it as "partial 16S ribosomal RNA". It matches the Rfam family "Bacterial small subunit ribosomal RNA", at positions 524 to 776 of the family's 1533-position model. The record is from RNAcentral.
UACGUAGGGUGCAAGCGUUAAUCGGAAUUACUGGGCGUAAAGCGUGCGCAGGCGGUUCGCUAAGGCAGAUGUGAAAUCCCCGGGCUUAACCUGGGAACUGCAUUUGUGACUGGCGGGCUAGAGGAUGGCAGAGGGGGGUAGAAUUCCACGUGUAGCAGUGAAAUGCGUAGAUAUCUGGAGGAACACCGGUGGCGAAGGCGGCAUCCUGGACCGGUAUUGACGCUGAGGAGCGAAAGCCAGGGGAGCAAACGGG